Molecule: transfer RNA, 61 nt
Filed under: Ictidomys tridecemlineatus (thirteen-lined ground squirrel)
Lineage: Eukaryota; Metazoa; Chordata; Mammalia; Rodentia; Sciuridae
Description: Spermophilus tridecemlineatus (thirteen-lined ground squirrel) tRNA
Rfam family: tRNA
About the family: Transfer RNA (tRNA) molecules are approximately 80 nucleotides in length. Their secondary structure includes four short double-helical elements and three loops (D, anti-codon, and T loops).
Source: Rfam by way of RNAcentral
UAUAGCUCAGUGGUAGAGUGCUUGCCUAGCACAUAUGAAGCCCUGGGUUCAAUUCCCAGUA